RNAcentral lists this ribosomal RNA (1172 nucleotides) under Campylobacter jejuni. RNAcentral's name for it is "partial 23S ribosomal RNA". It matches the Rfam family "Bacterial large subunit ribosomal RNA", at positions 1 to 1188 of the family's 2925-position model. Lineage: Bacteria; Pseudomonadati; Campylobacterota; Epsilonproteobacteria; Campylobacterales; Campylobacteraceae. The record is from RNAcentral.
AAAAAAGGUAAGCUACUAAGAGCGAAUGGUGGAUGCCUUGACUGGUAAAGGCGAUGAAGGACGUACUAGACUGCGAUAAGCUACGGGGAGCUGUCAAGAAGCUUUGAUCCGUAGAUUUCCGAAUGGGGCAACCCAAUGUAUAGAGAUAUGCAUUACCUAUAUAGGAGCGAACGAGGGGAAUUGAAACAUCUUAGUACCCUCAGGAAAAGAAAUCAAUAGAGAUUGCGUCAGUAGCGGCGAGCGAAAGCGCAAGAGGGCAAACCCAGUGCUUGCACUGGGGGUUGUAGGACUGCAAUGUGCAAGAGGUAAGUUUAGCAGAACAUUCUGGAAAGUAUAACCAUAGAGGGUGAUAGUCCCGUAUGCGAAAAACAAACCUUAGCUAGCAGUAUCCUGAGUAGGGCGGGACACGAGGAAUCCUGUCUGAAUCCGGGUCGACCACGAUCCAACCCUAAAUACUAAUACCAGAUCGAUAGUGCACAAGUACCGUGAGGGAAAGGUGAAAAGAACUGAGGUGAUCAGAGUGAAAUAGAACCUGAAACCAUUUGCUUACAAUCAUUCAGAGCCCUAUGUAGCAAUACAGGGUGAUGGACUGCCUUUUGCAUAAUGAGCCUGCGAGUUGUGGUGUCUGGCAAGGUUAAGCAAACGCGAAGCCGUAGCGAAAGCGAGUCUGAAUAGGGCGCUUAGUCAGAUGCUGCAGACCCGAAACGAAGUGAUCUAUCCAUGAGCAAGUUGAAGCUAGUGUAAGAACUAGUGGAGGACUGAACCCAUAGGCGUUGAAAAGCCCCGGGAUGACUUGUGGAUAGGGGUGAAAGGCCAAUCAAACUUCGUGAUAGCUGGUUCUCUCCGAAAUAUAUUUAGGUAUAGCGUUGUGUCGUAAUAUAAGGGGGUAGAGCACUGAAUGGGCUAGGGCAUACACCAAUGUACCAAACCCUAUCAAACUCCGAAUACCUUAUAUGUAAUCACAGCAGUCAGGCGGCGAGUGAUAAAAUCCGUCGUCAAGAGGGAAACAACCCAGACUACCAGCUAAGGUCCCUAAAUCUUACUUAAGUGGAAAACGAUGUGAAGUUACUUAAACAACCAGGAGGUUGGCUUAGAAGCAGCCAUCCUUUAAAGAAAGCGUAAUAGCUCACUGGUCUAGUGAUUUUGCGCGGAAAAUAUAACGGGGCUAAAGU